CGGGUGAGUAACACGUGAGUGACCUGCCUUUUAGACUGGAACAACUUACCGAAGGGUGAGCUAAUGCCGGAUGAGUUAUAUAAGUGCAUGUUUAUAUAGGAAAAGUUGGGGAGACCUGACGCUGAAAGAUGGACUCGCGUCCCAUUAGCUAGUUGGUAGGGUAAUGGCCUACCAAGGCGACGAUGGGUAGCCGGCCUGAGAGGGUGGCCGGCCACACUGGGACUGAGACACGGCCCAGACUCCUACGGGAGGCAGCAG
This 258-nucleotide ribosomal RNA is filed under the name uncultured bacterium. RNAcentral describes it as "partial 16S ribosomal RNA". It matches the Rfam family "Bacterial small subunit ribosomal RNA", at positions 103 to 354 of the family's 1533-position model. The record is from RNAcentral.